CCUACGGGAGGCAGCAGUGAGGAAUAUUGGUCAAUGGACGAGAGUCUGAACCAGCCACGUAGCGUGAAGGAUGACUGCCCUAUGGGUUGUAAACUUCUUUUAUAUGGGAAUAAAACGUUCCACGUGUGGGAUUUUGUAUGUACCAUAUGAAUAAGGAUCGGCUAACUCCGUGCCAGCAGCCGCGGUAAUACGGAGGAUCCGAGCGUUAUCCGGAUUUAUUGGGUUUAAAGGGAGCGUAGGUGGAUUGUAAAGUCAGUUGUGAAAGUUUGGGGCUCAACCGUAAAAUUGCAGUUGAAACUGGCAGUCUUGAGUACAGUAGAGGUGGGCGGAAUUCGUGGUGUAGCGGUGAAAUGCUUAGAUAUCACGAAGAACUCCGAUUGCGAAGGCAGUUCACUGGACUGCAACUGACACUGAGGCUCGAAAGCGUGGGUAUCAAACAGGAUUAGAUACCCGGGUAGUC
Molecule: ribosomal RNA, 460 nt
Filed under: uncultured bacterium
Lineage: Bacteria
Description: partial 16S ribosomal RNA
Rfam family: Bacterial small subunit ribosomal RNA
Source: RNAcentral